RNAcentral lists this ribosomal RNA (490 nucleotides) under uncultured bacterium. Its description in RNAcentral is "partial 16S ribosomal RNA". It matches the Rfam family "Bacterial small subunit ribosomal RNA", at positions 30 to 507 of the family's 1533-position model. The record is from RNAcentral.
AUUGAACGCUGGCGGCAGGCCUAACACAUGCAAGUCGAACGGUAACAGGGAUCAGCUUGCUGAUUCGCUGACGAGUGGCGGACGGGUGUGUAAUGUCUGGGAAACUGCCUGAUGGAGGGUGUUAACUACUGGAAACGGUAGCUAAUACCGCAUAACGUCGCAAGACCAAAGUGGGGGACCUUCGGGCCUCUUGCCAUCGGAUGUGCCCAGAUGGGAUUAGCUAGUAGGUUGGGUUACGGCUCACCUAGGCGACGAUCCCUAGCUGGUAUGAGAGGAUGACCAGCCACACUGGAACUGAGACACGGUCCAGACUCCUACGGGAGGCAGCAGUGGGGAAUAUUGCACAAUGGGCGAAAGCCUGAUGCAGCCAUGCCGCGUGUAUGAAGAAGGCCUUCGGGUUGUAAAGUACUUUCAGCGGGGAGGAAGGGAGUAAAGUUAAUACCGUUGCUCAUUGACGUUACCCGAAGAAGAAGCACCGGCUAACUCCGUG